CUGCUAUAGUGCAGAGAACUAUAUCUAGUCACUUGUGAUGGAAUAUGAUGGAGGAUAAUGUGAGAAAAAGAACGUACAUACAUACAUACAUAUGUGUAUAUAUAUAUAUGUCUGACUGAGUCACUUUGCUGUUUGGUAGAAAUUGAUGGAACACUCUAAACCAACCAUAAUGGAAAAAAUAAAAAUCAUAUAAACUUAAAGAAAAUAAAGUCAGUCUAGAAGAUCAAAAACAAAACAAAAAAAAAAAAAAAAAAAGGGCACUAAUCCAAGAGUUCCUGCUAUGGUGCAGUGGGUUAAAAAUCCAAUUGCAGUGGCUCAGGUUGCUGAGGAGGUGAGGGUUUAAUCCCUGGUCCAGUGUGGUAGGUUAUGGGAUCCAUCUCAGAUUCAGUCCCUGAUCAGGAAACUUUCAUAUGCUGUGGGUGCAGCCUUUAAAAAAAAAAAAGACACUGAUCUCAUUUAUUUAAUCCUAAUUAUCUCCCAAAGACCUCACCUCCUAAUCCCAUCCCAUGGGGAAAGGGGAAGUUUUCAAUAUACAAAUUUGGGGAAACAAUACUCAGUUCCUAUCAGUUGUGUAUGCUGAGUUCCUGGUUUUCUAAUGAGGCCUCAAAUCUGAGGGCAAUGGAUCAUACAUGCCAACACAGUUUCUCCACAGGAUAUUCUAAAAGGUGGGCAAAAUCACCACUGCAACCCUUAGCCUAUAUGUUCUACCUCUGUCCUACAUGGAAAGAUAAGAAAUUCAAGAGGGAUUGAAAGAGAAGAAAGGAUAAUGGCAGACUUAAUAGAAAUAAAGAAUACUGUGGUGUUUUUCUUCCCUUACCACAAUGGAUAUAUAUUUGAAGAAAGCCAAAAUUUUAAAACAUACAUGCACCCAAAUGCUCAUUUCAGCAUUAUUUGUAACAGCCAAGACAUGGAAGCAACCUAAUGUCCAUCAACAGAAGAAUGGAUAAAGAAGAUGGGGUACAUAUAUACAAUGGGAUACUAUUCAGCCUCAGAAAAUGAAUGAAAUAAUACCAUUGGCAGCAACAUGGUUGGACCUAGAGAUUAUCAUACUGAGUGAAGUAUGUCAGACAGAGAAGGACAAAUAUAUAAUAUCAUCUAUGUGUGGAAUCUAAUACAAAUGAUCCAAAAGAACUUUUUUAUAAAACAGAAACAGGAGUUCCCGUCGUGGCGCAGUGGUUAACGAAUCCGACUAGGAAUCAUGAGGUUGCGGGUUCGGUCCCUGCCCUUGCUCAGUGGGUUAAGGGUCUGGCAUUGCCCUGAGCUGUGGUGUAGGUUGCAGACGUGGCUCGGAUCCUGAGUUGCUGUGGCUCUGGCGUAGGCCGGUGGCUACAGCUCCGACUGGACCACUAGCCUGGGAACCUCAGUAUGCCACGGGAGCAGCCCAAGAAAUAGCAAAAAGAAAGAAAAAAAAAUAACAGAAACAAACUUGCAUAUUUUAAAAGCAAUCUUAUGAUUACCAUGGGUGAAACCUUUGCAGGGACGGAGGAAUUGGGAGAGUGGGGAAAACAUAUAUACAUUGCAUAAAAUAGAUGAUUAACAAGAACCUACUGUAUAGCACAGGAAAAUCUACUCAAUAGUUUGUAAUAAUCUGUAUGGGAAAAAAGAAUUAAGAUAUUUAUAUGUAUAACUGAUUCACUUUGCUGUACCACUGAAACAGAUAUAACAUUGUAAGUCAACUAUACUCCAAUAAAAAAAAAUCGUUUAGGAAUGAGUUUUCUUGUCUUAAAAAAAUAAGAACAGAAAAGAUCCCUUUCUCAAUGACCUAUGUUGAGGAUUAAAUAAACUGGUACAUGUAAAGCGUUUAGAACAGUGCUUGACAUAUCAGAAGACUUAGUAGUGUUGGCUAUUAUUAUCAUUAUCUGCCAAGUGUGAUAUAGAAGGUGUGAACAAAGCCUUAGAACUAUUCCUGGAAGAGAAGGCAUGACCUCAGAGAGGCUGGAUUAGACACUGCUAAGGUCUCUUCUAGGUCCUGAGAUUUCAUGGCUGUUUCUCAAGGUCACAGUGCAGAUAUAGGCACUGUCAGAAAUAGUGCCAGUUUCCAAUGUGCACUUAACCACCUGCCCAGGCUUUUUCCCUUCUCUAAGUCUAUAGAUUGCAUAAAGCAACCUCCUCAGUAUGGUCAUAAAUGAAAUACUGCAUCAGCUAUUUAGAAGUACUAAAAAGCAUAUAUUAAGGAUGAAAGUAUUGAUGAUACUUACUGGCACUUGAACCCAAGGCAGUAAGGCAUUUUAUAAAUCAGCCAGCAUCCCCUAUAAUCCUGGAUCUAAAUUGUUAGUUCUUGGGCUAUAUAUCACAGAUGUCUUUUUGUCAUCUAUGCUUUUCUCCUUAGAGGGUUAUUUAUUAUUUUUAUCAAUAUUAAUGUGGUUGCCAUUAUUUUUAUAGAUGAAGUAUACAUGUCUAUCCUUAUCUGGCUUAAACAAAUUUCUCUUGGAUCAAUGAGAAGCAUGCUGUUGGGUUUGCUUUCUUUUUCUCUACAAAAUGUUCAAAUGCUUAUUGCUAAGGGUUUUUUAAAAUCAAGUAUCACUAAGUAGUUUAAGUUUUAAUUUGAGUUUAUAGUUUGACUAAGAGUAAUAUCUAACCAGUGAACAAUAGGAAUUGUCCUUUUGCAAGAGAGAAACAGGCUAAAUAACCUAACUAAAAUGCCAGAGUAACCCCUCACUGUCCCCACUGCCUCCUGCCCCCUGUAAGAAGCUGCUGUGUUCUGAAGUCUUGUUUUUCCCCUGUGAUUUUGCCAUGUAUAAAUCUGGCAAGAAAACAUAGAUAGUAUCUCUUCUCCAUGCAAUGGUUUGCUUUAUUAAGUAAUAGUGAUAUUUUUUAUAAAUAUUAAAGGCUGGAAGGAAGCUCAGAAAAUGCUGAGGGAAAAAUCCUGCCUUUAAUAAAUAAGAAUAUGUGAAAAUUCAACUUGGUAACUUAGUUUGUCUAGCUGUUAAAAAUUUUCUCUGUUGCUAAGGUUGCUGAAUGGUGGGUAUAAAAAUGAGCUUAAAGCAAGUUCUUAGGACAAGUUUUUGCCCAACAGCAGUCACAGUGUUUAUAAGUGGCAACCCUGUCCAUAUGGAAGAGAGAAAAACUAGAAGUGAAAAUUACAUCAUCCCUUCUACAUUAGACAAGUUAAUUAGUUGGCCCAUAAUCACAGACUCUGCUCCAAAUGAAAAGAACAGCUUUUCUUCUUUUGAAUCAGCAAGGCACAGAAGGUGCAAUACCUGGGUAAUUUAUUAACAGUUAGAAUGUUUUGAAAGAAGAAUUUCUGAAUUUAGAUUAUCCUAAACAUCCACUUGAAACAUCUAAUGCGGUGGUGAGAUCUUUGCAGUUUCCCAUAACAAAUUUAAAAUGUGAGUAUUCCUUUUGUGCCUGCCAGAAGCAAUCUAAUGCAUUUGGAAGCUUUAUGAGGUUUCUUUUUUUUGUUUCUUGUUGUUUGAAGAUAUUAGAACACAAGAGUACUGAAUAAGCUAUGGAACCUUAUAAUUGAAAGAAGAGUUAUAUUGUCAGAUCCAAAGUCAUUCUCAAAAUAAAAAUAGGAAAUUCUAGAUCUGUUUCUGACUGUAAUAUGUCACCCAUGCCCACUCCACAUCUAGAACAAGUUAAGGACUUUACGUAUACAGUAGUAUCUAAGCCUACAGAAGUUUCCAUCACAAGAAAAAGAGUGGCUUGAAGGUCACAGAAACACACCCUCCAGUAGCUGGAAAGAUGAUUCUGGCUGAUUAGGGAGUCAGGAAUCUAGAAGGUUGAAAUGUACAAAGGGAAGAGACAUGCUUUGUUUGGAAAUUAGCCUGAUGGCUGUUUUUCUGUGCCUAAGCAAGAUUGGCUGAAUUUUUCUUUCCUCUUUUCUGUUCCCAAAUAAAAGAGGAAGAAAAAUCAGAAAGGUGUGCAUUUGGUCCCUGACAAGAGAGUGGAUUAGCACAGUCUAUUGCUUGCUCCCCCAAAUCUAUCUGGUGAAACUACAGAGGCAGAGAAAAGCCUGAAUCUGGAAAUGGUAUAAAAGCUCAGAAACCCCUGAGAGAUACAGGCAUCAGUGGAGGUUCAAGGGCAGCCUGACUGAGCUGUGGGAAGAAAGUUUAAGAGAGAGGUUUUCAGUUCCUCUCAGCCUUACUGGUCUGUACCUUGGGACUGUUUUUGUCUCAUCUGCACAGAAAUCUUCAGCAACGGCUUGGACCUAGCUGUGUCAAGGGUGUAAUAUUAGGGUCUGCAAAAUCUCUGCUUUGGGUGAGAUACUAAUGGAACAGAUGUCAGCUGCCAGAGAUCUUACUUUCUGCCCUAGUUCUUUUUCAGUGUUUGGGCUAUGAGAUUUUACCAACUUGAAAAAUGAUUUAGAAGAUUUGCCUGGUGGAGCAACAGCAAAAAGAAGUGAUUGAGAGAGAUUCUUUAGUAUAUUGAGGUCCCCUUAGUCUCACCAUUUCUCUUUUGUUUACAUCAGGAGGAAUAUAAUUUAGACCCUCCUGUAAUUCUUAUUAUCAGACAGUAUCAUGAAUUCACAGGGAAAACAACAACAGUAACAACAACAUGUAGAUAUUGGGAAGAAUAACCUAUAAAACAAAGAUGACAGGAGUUCCUGCUAUGGCACAGUUGGUUAAGAGUAUGACUGGGUCACUGUACAGAAGAAGUUGACAGAACAAUGUCAAUUAACUAUAAUAGAAAAAAUAAAAGCCUAAAAAAAAGAAUCUGAAUGCGGUGGCUUGGGUUACUGAGGAGGUGUGAGUUUGAUCCCCAGCCCAGGG
Molecule: long non-coding RNA, 4712 nt
Filed under: Sus scrofa (pig)
Lineage: Eukaryota; Metazoa; Chordata; Mammalia; Artiodactyla; Suidae
Description: lncRNA (ENSSSCG00000053619.1)
Source: RNAcentral